UUGAACGCUGGCGGCAGGCCUAACACCUGCAAGUCGAGCGGAUGAAGGGAGCUUGCUCCUGGAUUCAGCGGCGGACGGGUGAGUAAUGCCUAGGAAUCUGCCUGGUAGUGGGGGAUAACGUCCGGAAACGGGCGCUAAUACCGCAUACGUCCUGAGGGAGAAAGUGGGGGAUCUUCGGACCUCACGCUAUCAGAUGAGCCUAGGUCGGAUUAGCUAGUUGGUGGGGUAAAGGCCUACCAAGGCGACGAUCCGUAACUGGUCUGAGAGGAUGAUCAGUCACACUGGAACUGAGACACGGUCCAGACUCCUACGGGAGGCAGCAGUGGGGAAUAUUGGACAAUGGGCGAAAGCCUGAUCCAGCCAUGCCGCGUGUGAAGAAGGUCUUCGGAUUGUAAAGCACUUUAAGUUGGGAGGAAGGGCAGUAAGUUAAUACCUUGCUGUUUUGACGUUACCAACAGAAUAAGCACCGGCUAACUUCGUG
This 481-nucleotide ribosomal RNA is filed under the name uncultured bacterium. Its description in RNAcentral is "partial 16S ribosomal RNA". It matches the Rfam family "Bacterial small subunit ribosomal RNA", at positions 30 to 507 of the family's 1533-position model. The record is from RNAcentral.